Non-coding RNA from Cinara cedri, 771 nucleotides. Lineage: Eukaryota; Metazoa; Arthropoda; Insecta; Hemiptera; Aphididae. The record is from the annotation of a GenBank genome assembly.
AUGUAUUUUGUACUCGUCGAAUAAAAAAUGGCCACACAAUAGAGUUGUGUGUAGUCUUGUUAUAUAAUAAUAAUAUUUACUUAAAAUUACGUAAUUUGUAUCCGAAAAUAUUUGCAAGAAACAUAAUGUUAGGUAUACAGGUUUUACAUUCAAAAUAUUCGUAAAUAACUUACAUUUUUUAAAAUGAACAAACUAAAAUUAUUAAUUAAAUAAAGUAUUAACAUAGUUUUUACUCGAAACGCUAUUUGUUUCAACAGUUCAACAAUGUAUUUGUUGUACGCGUUGUUACCAUCUGUUUGCGACGGUUGCCGUUUGCAGUGAAUAAAAAACAAUUUUGUUUAUUUAUCUUAUCACUCUACUACUAUAGUAUCAUUUUCCAGCAACAUUAAUAAUAAAAUAUAUUCAUAGGUAUUCAUCGUAUAUUAAUUUACUCAAUCCAUUAAACAACAAGGAUAUUUUGUCCCCAUAAUUUUUCACUCGAUAAACAAAAAAACAUAGGUUAACUACAUCUAAAAUUUUAAUAAAAAAAUAAGUGAUACCCCAACAAAAAUCCUUCGUCAACUACAUAUAAAAACCUCGCUAAGAAAAUAAAAAACGUAAGUUAGAAAAGUUGUGAUAUCAAAAAGGAGGCUAGGUAAUUUCUUAAAUACAUUGUUAUAGAAAUUGUUUAUAAUUAUUUGUAUUUGAUGAAGCGCGAUAAUUUAAAACAAAUAAUUUCACUUAGCUUGGCAACUACUCAUAGUAUGCACUCAAAUAGUAUUAUGGUAAUAU